CACAAUGAACAAGAAGAUUACAUUAGAGACAGGCACAGUCUGUCAGUUUCUGCAUGGAAAAACAAUUCUCUUGCAAAGUGUAGAAGCUAAAACUACAAGGGAUUAUGGGACUUCUUCAUAGCGUCAACUCCAGUUAAAAAAAAGAAAAGUGAAGAGAAGUAAAAACCAUUGAUGAAGCAUAUCAAUGACAAUGCCUUCAUCACAAUUUCAUAUAUGAUGCUGUGAAUCCCCAUCCUGAAGUUCAGAGAAGCAGUAGCAGUACAUCCUAUCAAUUGUUCAACAUCUAUGAACGAUUGCUUUGAGAGUUAAGAAAGAACAUUGCAAGGUAUCAGUCAGCUACAAGAGAAGUCAGAUUCUUCUGAUCAUAGUUUGUAG
RNAcentral lists this unclassified non-coding RNA (375 nucleotides) under Hevea brasiliensis (rubber tree). Lineage: Eukaryota; Viridiplantae; Streptophyta; Magnoliopsida; Malpighiales; Euphorbiaceae. The record is from RNAcentral.